GACGGACGCUGGCGGCGUGCUUAACACAUGCAAGUCGAACGCUGAAGACCUGGCUUUUGUUGGGUUGGAUGAGUGGCGAACGGGUGAGUAACACGUGAGUAACCUGCCCUCUUCUUUGGGAUAACGCCCGGAAACGGGUGCUAAUACUGGAUAUUCACUGAUCUUCGCAUGGGGGUUGGUGGAAAGGUUUGUUCUGGUGGGGGAUGGGCUCGCGGCCUAUCAGCUUGUUGGUGGGGUGAUGGCCUACCAAGGCUUUGACGGGUAGCCGGCCUGGGAGGGUGACCGGUCACAUUGGGACUGAGAUACGGCCCAGACUCCUACGGGAGGCAGCAGUGGGGAAUAUUGCACAAUGGGCGAAAGCCUGAUGCAGCGACGCCGCGUGAGGGAUGGAGGCCUUCGGGUUGUAAACCUCUUUCGCUCAUGGUCAAGCCGCAACUGUGGGUUGUGGUGAGGGUAGUGGGUAAAGAAGCGCCGGCUAACUACGUG
RNAcentral lists this ribosomal RNA (486 nucleotides) under uncultured bacterium. RNAcentral describes it as "partial 16S ribosomal RNA". It matches the Rfam family "Bacterial small subunit ribosomal RNA", at positions 28 to 507 of the family's 1533-position model. The record is from RNAcentral.